This 569-nucleotide long non-coding RNA is filed under the name Nicotiana benthamiana. RNAcentral describes it as "long non-coding RNA (NBEN_LNC017015)". The record is from RNAcentral. Lineage: Eukaryota; Viridiplantae; Streptophyta; Magnoliopsida; Solanales; Solanaceae.
UUUCUGGUUGUAGAUAUUUCCUUACAAUUGUUGAUGAUUUUUCUAGGGCAACAUGGACACACUUAAUGGGAUCCAAAAGCAAUGCUUUUUCUAUGCCUAAGUCAUUCCUUUCUUUGGUUAAAACCCAAUUCAAUGUUGUAGUUCAAACUGUUAGAAGUGACAAUGCCUUAGAAUUGGGAUCCAGCAUAGAGGGAACUUCUUUCUUUAGUAGUCAGGGGAUAAUACAUCAAACCACCUGCUCUCAUACCCCUCAACAGAAUGGUGUUGUUGAGAGGAAGCAUAGAACCCUUCUUGAAACCUGUAGAGCUUUGCUUUUUCAAUCUGGCUUGCCUGUAUCUUUCUGAGGGGGCUGUUUGUUGACUGCCACCUACCUCCUUAACAGAAUACCCACCAGAUUACUUCACAAUAAAUCUCCUCAUGACUGGCCUGCCUAUAUCUUUCUGGGGGGACUGUUUGUUGACUGCCACCUACCUACUUAACAGAAUACCCACCAGAUUACUUCACAAUAAAUCUCCUCAUGAAGUCUUGUAUGGGAAAGUUCCAACCUAUACUCACUUGAGGACAUUUNN